This 492-nucleotide ribosomal RNA is filed under the name uncultured bacterium. Its description in RNAcentral is "partial 16S ribosomal RNA". It matches the Rfam family "Bacterial small subunit ribosomal RNA", at positions 29 to 507 of the family's 1533-position model. The record is from RNAcentral.
AGUGAACGCUGGCGGUAGGCCUAACACAUGCAGGUCGAACGGCAGCACAGUAAGAGCUUGCUCUUACGGGUGGCGAGUGGCGGACGGGUGAGGAAUACAUCGGAAUCUACUUUUUCGUGGGGGAUAACGUAGGGAAACUUACGCUAAUACCGCAUACGACCUACGGGUGAAAGCAGGGGAUCUUCGGACCUUGCGCGAUUGAAUGAGCCGAUGUCGGAUUAGCUAGUUGGCGGGGUAAAGGCCCACCAAGGCGACGAUCCGUAGCUGGUCUGAGGGGAUGAUCAGCCACACUGGAACUGAGACACGGUCCAGACUCCUACGGGAGGCAGCAGUGGGGAAUAUUGGACAAUGGGCGCAAGCCUGAUCCAGCCAUACCGCGUGGGUGAAGAAGGCCUUCGGGUUGUAAAGCCCUUUUGUUGGGAAAGAAAAGCAGCAGGUUAAUACCCCGCUGUUCUGACGGUACCCAAAGAAUAAGCACCGGCUAACUUCGUG